CUGAGCUAAGACCAAAGGCACACAACGAAGGUCCAGCACCCCACCUGCAGACACAGGUGUGAGAGGGAUAUUAACUGAAAGGCGGUGGCAGGUGGCAUCUGUGGCCCAGGCCUGGUUUCUCUGGAGGAAGUUGCUGCCCACAACCCCACUGGGGCUCCUGGGUCAGGAGCCCACCCGCCUCCAUGUGUGCAGGACACACGUGGCCAGACAGACAGACUCCCAGGGACACACUCCCUGGGGCAGAGAGCCAAAGCCUGCACAAUUCUCUCAGGGUGAGGAAACAGGCACAGAGUGGGCUGAGUCUGCGCGACGGACGCCCCAGGCUAUGGCCGGCACCGUGUCCGGGGAGUGGGGCCUGUCUGGGCCCAGGCUGGUCCCUGCUCCUCUCCCUCUGCCUUCAAGGAUGGCAAGGGGAGGAGAAUCUCAAACCCACCUGGCAACUGACUGCUAGAGGGCCAGGCAAGAGGAUGGACCUCACCGGGAAGAUGGGACAGUCGUGUCCAGCCAUGAGGAUCCUGUGCACUGCACACUGAUGCCCUGGGCGGGGCAGGCAGGCGGACAACACUGGGAAGCCUACCCCAGAAUGGCCAGGACCAGAGGUGGACAUGGACGGAGCUGCCUGAGGGCCACACUCGGACACACGAGACACAGACCAUGUGGAAACCCUGACCCUCCCACCAGCCCCGAGGUGUGCAGUCAGGGCCAGUAAAGGGCAGAACCAGCGCAUGGACAACUGCUUUCCAGGGAAACAGAAUCUACCAAAAGGUGCCGCCUGUAGGAUCCUGCAGAUGGUACUGCCUGGCGCUGCUCUUCCCCGUGGGCCCUCCCAGGGCCGACCAGGGCUCAGAACAG
RNAcentral lists this long non-coding RNA (852 nucleotides) under Equus caballus (horse). Its description in RNAcentral is "lncRNA (ENSECAG00000058176.1)". The record is from RNAcentral. Lineage: Eukaryota; Metazoa; Chordata; Mammalia; Perissodactyla; Equidae.